Molecule: ribosomal RNA, 829 nt
Filed under: Chaetothyriales sp.
Lineage: Eukaryota; Fungi; Ascomycota; Eurotiomycetes; Chaetothyriales
Description: bacterial SSU rRNA
Rfam family: Bacterial small subunit ribosomal RNA
Source: RNAcentral
GUAUUAGCGUAAGCUAGCUCAUGUUCCGGCAGUCGAGACUGAGAGGUCGAUCGACCACAUUGGGUCUGAAAAAAGCCCACGGCAGAUAGUACAGCAGUGGGGUAUAUUGGUCAAUAGCCUAACGGCUGAACCAGCAACUUGGAAGAACGUAUAACGAAUAAGUCGUAUAAAGUUCUAGGUAGAACAAUGAUUAUGACAAUUUUCUAUCUAUAAGUCUUGACCAAAUUACGUGCCAGCAGUCGCGGUAACACGUAGAAGACUAGUGUUAUUCAUCUUUAUUAGGUUUAAAGGGUACCUAGACGGGAAAUUAAGCCAUAAUAGGUACUAAUUUUCUAGAGUUUUAUGUGAGAAGGGGCGAAUUUCCGGAGGAAAGUUGAUAUUUUGUGAUACUGGUAGGACGGGUAACGGCGAAGGCAACCUUCUAUGUAAAAACUGACGUUGAGGGACGAAGCCUUGGGUAACGAUAAGGAUUAGAUACCCUAGUAGUCCUUGGAGAAAAUUAUGAAUGUCAUAGGUUAGUACAAUAAUCAAUAUUUUAUUAAUGAAUCAAUAAAAUAGUUGGUUAAUAUAGUAAGAUUAUGUUAACCUUACUCUUCAGCAUAUAUUACAGGUAUAUAUACUGCUUAACAGGAAACAACUAUUGACAUUAUAUUGGCCUAUAAAUGAAAGUGCAAGCAUUCCACCUCAUGAGUAAAGCGGCAACGCCCAAAUUGAAAUCAUUAGACCGUUUCUGAAACCAGUAGUGAAGUAUGUUAUUUAAUUCGAUGAUCCGCGAAUAACCUUACCACAUUAUGCAUUGAAUAUUAUUCAAUUAAUACAAGCGCUGCAC